Oryza sativa Japonica Group (Japanese rice) is the source of this 2218-nucleotide non-coding RNA. NCBI's taxonomy places the organism in Eukaryota, Viridiplantae, Streptophyta, Magnoliopsida, Poales, Poaceae. The record is from RefSeq and is a predicted model, not a curated record.
AUCGUAAAACCGUCCACCCACUCUUUACUCUCCCUCUCCAUAUUAUUGAGUUAUUUUUUAGCUUCACAUGCCUUAAAUUUAAAUUUUUGUUUCUUUGUGCACAAUUUUUUUUUCUCACAGUUAUACCCCUUUUUUCCGGAUCGCAGGUCAGCGACGGGCGGUCGAGCGGCGAUUGCAGGUCGGCGGCGCGCGGCCGCCGGCUUGGGCUUCCUCGGCGCGUCGGGCGGCAGGCGGCGGGGUCCCUCCAGCUUCCUCCGACGGCGGGCGACAAUGACGCCCUGUUUCAGCGGCGUGCGACGGGCUCGACGGGGCCAUCCAUUGCCUGGAUCCGGCGGCGGCGGCCGUCCCUCGCCCGGCCCCGCACAGAUCCACUAGCGGUUGCGGGAGGAGAGCCCAGGGGUAGACUCGGCGAUGGCUGGCGGACAACGGUCGUGCACCGCGUGGAGUCCGGCGGCGGCGGGCGGCGUAGCCGCUCACUUCUUUCUGCCCACUGCCGUCAUCGUGGUUGUCCUUCACCAGCUCGCCGUGAGGCCGCCGCCCUCUGCCCACACCGCCGCCGAUGGACGUCGACUCUGACUCGGCCGCCGGGGGCAAGCCCACCCAGAUGGACCUCGAGGACUAGGUUUGACAGCUGGUUUCAUAUUUUAAGAUACCACUCAGUCAAAUUCUUGUGGUAAAUAUUGUCAAUUUUACAGUAAUUUUGCUUUUGCAUUUGUAUUUUUUUCAUCAUUGAGUUCUCCCAGGAGCUUUUUCUACUUGAGAUUUAGCUUUUGUUCUAAAACUUUGGGAUAAACAGAGCAAUUUAAGUGGAAUUGUUCUCGUGAUUUUGUUGCCAGCCUAUCUAAAAUACAUUUUGUUUUCUGAGCAGUACAGAUGCAUGAGCAGUACAUACUUCUGCGGCAGUAAACGCAGAUAUGUCCAUGAUGAAUUUUCGGGCUCUGAUUCAUUGAUAGUGCUAGUUAUAUCAGAACUUAUUUGAUGGACUAGCUGUUCACAUCUGAUGCAUUUGUUGCAUUUCUGGGCCUUUUGUGUUCUCAAUGAACAAAUAUGUUUAAAUGGAAUCCUCUUAUACAUGUGUCCUCAAUGAUUUUCUCUGUAGAUUUUAAGAAAAAAAUUGUUGUUAGGCUAGUAGUUUUCUGAAUUUUUCUGCUUCAACAAAGGAGGUCGAAUGAUGCCUGAAAUGCUGAACUUCUGUUUUUUUAGUACUGCCACAUGAGCACUGAAAUUGUCUAGUUCAAUAGAGCAUUGUUGAUCGGUUAGUAUUUUUCUGAAAUUCCCUAGUUCUUGUAGAGCAGCACAAAUGAAUUUUCUUUGAUCCUUCACUGAAUCAUUUAGCCAUAUCCUUCAUUGAAUCUGUAGAGCUGUUUUUUCAUCUCAUUUGUGUGGUUCUGUUAGUACUUUAAUUAAAUCGAAGUCAGGGCAUAUUCUCUAACAAUUGUGGCUAGAUGUUCCUUUGCGCUGAACCUAUUGUUGUUGCUUAAACAUCAAGGUAUUCCUUAGUCUCCUUUGCUCUCUGACUAUGUAUUCCAGAUAAAUUUAGAGCUGCUAUGGCACUUGUGAAGAGUGACAUUGGUGGUAAUAUCACGGUAAGCAUGCUUUUUUGCACGACACUUAAUAGUACAUUGUGUUGCUUUCCUCAUUUUCAUUAGUAAAUUUCUGUAGUUAUCUACUCCGUAUGUGAUAGAUGCAUGAAUCAUAUUUACUUUAGUCAGAUUUGCUUACCUAGAAGUUUGUGAUAGAAGCGGCUCAGGUGAAAUUCAAGGAGGCGACAGGCUUGACGCGAUGGGCAGCAUUGCACUAAGGGCUACCGCGCCGAGCAUGUCGUCUGGAGGCCAUGUCGCUGACCCGAGUCCGGAAGGUUUUAUUGCUGGCCUCUUUGGUGAUUCAAGCUCUGCAUAUCGCCUGACGGUCAGGUCGGCGGAGGCAGGUGCCUUCCACCUGGUGCACGUUCGUGGGAACCACCUGAGAACAUCAUCAACAGUCUUCCUUUUGAAUGUCGACAUUGUUCUAUCGCCAGAAUCAAUUGUUUUUCUUCUGAGUAAUUUUUUUACUUCUAGAUUAACUGUGUAACAUUUUACUGGUGGAUCAUAUGAUCCACUGUAAAGGCUCCUUGUAGUUUUCAGACUCACAAAGUCAAAUGAUCCGGUGAGAUUUUUUAUUAUAUAAUGUAAUAAUAUGCAUGGCAAAUAAACGUAUUGUGAUGGUUGAUAAUUUUCUA